This 1164-nucleotide long non-coding RNA is filed under the name Papio anubis (olive baboon). RNAcentral's name for it is "lncRNA (ENSPANG00000045493.1)". Lineage: Eukaryota; Metazoa; Chordata; Mammalia; Primates; Cercopithecidae. The record is from RNAcentral.
AUUCUGAAGAGUCAUUUAAAACAUCAACUUUGGGCCAGGUGCAGCGGCUCUUGCCUGUAUUCCCAGCACUUUGGGAGGCCGAGGUGGGAAAAUCAGCUUGAGUCCAGGAGUUGGAGACCAGCCUGGACAACAUAGCAAGACCUCAUCUCUACUAAAGAUAAAAAAAAUUAGCUGAGCAUGGUGGUGCACAUCUGUAGUCCCAGCUACUCAAGAGGCCAAGGCGGGAGGAUGGCUUGAGCCCAGGAGUUCAGGGCUACAGAGAGCUAUGAUUGAGCCACUGCACUGCAGCCUAGGAGGAGACUCUGUUACCAAAACAAAACAAAACAAAACAAAAAAACUUUGACAGAUAUUAUUAUGAUUGUAUCAGCUUUCUUUCUUUUCUUGUUUUUUAUUUAUUUAUUUAUUUAUUUUUGAGACAGGGUCUUGCUCUGUCGCCCAGGCUGGAGUGCAGUGAUGCUAUCUCGGCUCACUGCAACCUCCGCCUCCCGGGUUCAAAGAAACUUUUGAAUCUGUGGUUUUUUUAAAACUGAUUUUUGUACAUUGUUAGUAUUUCUUUAAAUAUUUCUUCUGCCAUCUCUCUUUCCUGAAGACUCCAAUUACACAUAUGUAAACCGUUUCAUAAUGUUCCCUGUAUCUUUUAGGUUUUUUCCCUACAUUUUCCAUUAUAUUUUUUCUUUGUGAUUCAAUUGGAAUAUUUUUUUCCAGAGAGGUUUUCCAGUUCGCUAAUUCUCUCAGCAGUUGUUAAACUCAAGUACUGAAUUAUUAAUUUUAAUUAAUUAAUUUUUUUCUUUUAAUUCAAUAAUAGCUUUUGGGAACUAAAUCCACAUACCAUAAAAUCUUUUACAGUGUAUAAUUCAGUAGUUUUUCAAUAUAGUCCUAGAGUCGUACAACCAUCACCACAAUCUAAUUUCAGAACAUUUUCAUCAUCCCAAAAAGAAACUCCAAGUACAUUAGCAGUCAUCCCCUAUUCUCUCCUCUUCCCAGACCCUGGCAACCACUAAACACUACUUUCUGUCUGUAUGAGUUGCCUAUUCUGGACAUUUCAUAUAAAUGGAAUCAUACAAUAGGUAGCCUUUCAUGACUGGCUUCUUUCACUUGGCCUUUGUUAUCAAGGCUCAAUCAUGUUGCAGCAUGUGUCGGUACUUCAUUCCUUUUUAUGGCAGA